GGAGGGGAGGUAAGAACUGGAGCCGGAUCAUGAAGGUAGGCAGACAGAAGUGAGCAAAGGCUUGCAAGGAAGGAAGGAUCACCUGAGCAGAGACCCAUGGGGAUGCAGAGAUGUCCAGAGGAGAGUGAGGAAGAAGAGGCUGAGUAGGAUGAGACCCAGCAAGUGGGCUGGCUGGGGGCAGCAAUGUUCCAGCUCCAUCAGCUGGCCCGUCUAAUAGUUAAGAAUACAGCCUCCUCCUAUCAUAGGUUUAGCAGCCAGCUGUGGACUUUGAAAGAGGGAGCAGAGGUAGCCCCAGGACAGUGAGUGGAUUUGUGUCUCUAUCCAGUGUGGAUAAAUCUUGGAAGGAGCUCAGUAAUGUCCUCUCAGGGAUCUUCUGCGCCUCUCUCAACUUCAUCGACUCCACCAACACAGUCACUCCCACUGCCUCCUUCAAACCCCUGGGUCUGGCCAAUGACACUGACCACUACUUUCUGCGCUAUGCUGUGCUGCCACGGGAGGUGGUCUGCACCGAAAACCUCACCCCCUGGAAGAAGCUCUUGCCCUGUAGUUCCAAGGCAGGCCUCUCUGUGCUGCUGAAGGCAGAUCGCUUGUUCCACACCAGCUACCACUCCCAGGCAGUGCAUAUCCGCCCUGUUUGCAGAAAUGCACGCUGUACUAGCAUCUCCUGGGAGCUGAGGCAGACCCUGUCAGUUGUAUUUGAUGCCUUCAUCACGGGGCAGGGAAAGAAAGACUGGUCCCUCUUCCGGAUGUUCUCCCGAACCCUCACGGAGCCCUGCCCCCUGGCUUCAGAGAGCCGAGUCUAUGUGGACAUCACCACCUACAACCAGGACAACGAGACAUUAGAGGUGCACCCACCCCCGACCACUACAUAUCAGGACGUCAUCCUAGGCACUCGGAAGACCUAUGCCAUCUAUGACUUGCUUGACACCGCCAUGAUCAACAACUCUCGAAACCUCAACAUCCAGCUCAAGUGGAAGAGACCCCCAGAGAAUGAGGCCCCCCCAGUGCCCUUCCUGCAUGCCCAGCGGUACGUGAGCGGCUAUGGGCUGCAGAAGGGGGAGCUGAGCACACUGCUGUACAACACCCACCCAUACCGGGCCUUCCCGGUGCUGCUGCUGGACACCGUACCCUGGUAUCUGCGGCUGUAUGUGCACACCCUCACCAUCACCUCCAAGGGCAAGGAGAACAAACCAAGUUACAUCCACUACCAGCCUGCCCAGGACCGGCUGCAACCCCACCUCCUGGAGAUGCUGAUUCAGCUGCCGGCCAACUCAGUCACCAAGGUUUCCAUCCAGUUUGAGCGGGCGCUGCUGAAGUGGACCGAGUACACGCCAGAUCCUAACCAUGGCUUCUAUGUCAGCCCAUCUGUCCUCAGCGCCCUUGUGCCCAGCAUGGUAGCAGCCAAGCCAGUGGACUGGGAAGAGAGUCCCCUCUUCAACAGCUUGUUCCCAGUCUCUGAUGGCUCUAACUACUUUGUGCGGCUCUACACGGAGCCGCUGCUGGUGAACCUGCCGACACCGGACUUCAGCAUGCCCUACAACGUGAUCUGCCUCACGUGCACUGUGGUGGCCGUGUGCUAUGGCUCCUUCUACAAUCUCCUCACCCGAACCUUCCACAUCGAGGAGCCCCGCACAGGUGGCCUGGCCAAGCGGCUGGCCAACCUUAUCCGGCGUGCCCGAGGUGUCCCCCCACUCUGAUUCUUGCCCUUUCCAGCAGCUGCAGCUGCCGUUUCUCUCUGGGGAGGGGAGCCCAAGGGCUGUUUCUGCCACUUGCUCUCCUCAGAGUUGGCUUUUGAACCAAAGUGCCCUGGACCAGGUCAGGGCCUACAGCUGUGCUGUCCAGUACAGGAGCCACGAGCCAAAUGUGGCAUUUGAAUUUGAAUUAACUUAGAAAUUCAUUUCCUCACCUGUAGUGGCCACCUCUAUAUUGAGGUGCUCAAUAAGCAAAAGUGGUCAGUGGCUGCUGUAUUGGACAGCACAGAAAAAGAUUUCCAUCACCACAGAAAGGUCGGCUGGCAGCACUGGCCAAGGUGAUGGGGUGUGCUGCACAGUGUAUGUCACUGUGUAGUGGAUGGAGUUUACUGUUUGUGG
RNAcentral lists this small RNA (2090 nucleotides) under Pan troglodytes (chimpanzee). RNAcentral's name for it is "retained intron". The record is from RNAcentral. Lineage: Eukaryota; Metazoa; Chordata; Mammalia; Primates; Hominidae.